CACAGACAGCCAGGAUGUUGGCUUAGAAGCAGCCAUCAUUUAAAGAAAGCGUAAUAGCUCACUGGUCGAGUCGGCCUGCGCGGAAGAUGUAACGGGGCUAAACCAUGCACCGAAGCUGCGGCAGCGGCGCGAAUGCGUUGUUGGGUAGGGGAGCGUUCUGUAAGCCGUCGAAGGUGUGCUGUGAGGCAUGCUGGAGGUAUCAGAAGUGCGAAUGCUGACAUAAGUAACGAUAAAGCGGGUGAAAAGCCCGCUCGCCGGAAGACCAA
This 266-nucleotide ribosomal RNA is filed under the name Erwinia amylovora. RNAcentral's name for it is "partial 23S ribosomal RNA". It matches the Rfam family "Bacterial large subunit ribosomal RNA", at positions 1084 to 1348 of the family's 2925-position model. The record is from RNAcentral. Lineage: Bacteria; Pseudomonadati; Pseudomonadota; Gammaproteobacteria; Enterobacterales; Erwiniaceae.